CAUAGGCUGUUAGGGCUAACGAGGUGAACUGAAACAUCUUAGUAACCUCAGGAAUAGAAAACAAUAGUGAUUUUCCUAGUAGCGGCGAGCGAACGGGAAAUAGCCUAAACCGAGUAUAUGUCAAGCCCGAAAGCGUUGUAUGCUCGGGGUCGUGGGUUUUGAUCGGACGGUGUUUCGGAACCGUCGGGAAGUUACAAAUCUGAUUUAUAACUGAAGCGUCUGGAAGGUCGCACCAUAGAAGGUGACAGUCCUGUAAGUGAAAUAGAUCAGACUUCCUGGGUCAGACACCCAAGUAGCGCGGGACACGAGAAACCCUGUGUGAAUCCGGGAGGACCAUCUCCUAAGGCUAAAUACUCCUUGACGACCGAUAGUGAACCAGUACCGUGAGGGAAAGGUGAAAAGUACCCCGGUGAGGGGAGUGAAAUAGUACCUGAAACCGUUUGCUUACAAGCAGUGGGAGCACUAUGGCGAUCUUUGAUUGCCAGUGUGACCGCGUGCCUUUUGCAUAAUGAGUCAGCGAGUUACUUCUAUGUAGCGAGGUUAAGCCGACAGGUGUAGCCGUAGCGAAAGCGAGUCUUAACCGGGCGCGUUAGUUGCAUGGAGUAGACCCGAAACCAAGUGAUCUAUCCAUGGCCAGGGUGAAGCGCGAGUAAGAUCGCGUGAAGGCCCGAACCGUUGUAUGUUGAAAAAUGCUCGGAUGAGCUGUGGAUAGGGGUGAAAGGCCAAACAAACUUGGAAAUAGCUGGUUCUCCCCGAAAUAUAUUUAGGUAUAGCCUUGCGU
RNAcentral lists this ribosomal RNA (781 nucleotides) under Aestuariibacter sp. RNAcentral's name for it is "partial 23S ribosomal RNA". It matches the Rfam family "Bacterial large subunit ribosomal RNA", at positions 165 to 887 of the family's 2925-position model. Lineage: Bacteria; Pseudomonadati; Pseudomonadota; Gammaproteobacteria; Alteromonadales; Alteromonadaceae. The record is from RNAcentral.